UACGGGGGGAGCAAGCGUUGUUCGGAUUUACUGGGCGUAAAGGGCGCGUAGGCGGUCGUGCCAAGUCACUUGUGAAAUCUCCGGGCUUAACUCGGAACGGUCAAGUGAUACUGUCGGACUAGAGUACAGAAGGGGCAACUGGAAUUCCCGGUGUAGCGGUGAAAUGCGCAGAUAUCGGGAGGAACACCUAUGGCGAAGGCAGCUCGCUGGGACGUUACUGACGCUGAGACGCGAAAGCGUGGGGAGCAAACAGG
RNAcentral lists this ribosomal RNA (254 nucleotides) under uncultured bacterium. Its description in RNAcentral is "partial 16S ribosomal RNA". It matches the Rfam family "Bacterial small subunit ribosomal RNA", at positions 524 to 776 of the family's 1533-position model. The record is from RNAcentral.